RNAcentral lists this ribosomal RNA (506 nucleotides) under uncultured bacterium. RNAcentral's name for it is "partial 16S ribosomal RNA". It matches the Rfam family "Bacterial small subunit ribosomal RNA", at positions 28 to 523 of the family's 1533-position model. The record is from RNAcentral.
GAUGAACGCUAGCGGCAGGCCUAACACAUGCAAGUCGAGGGGCAGCACAUAAAGUGGUUUACUACUUUUGGUGGCGACCGGCGGACGGGUGCGUAACGCGUAUGCAACCUGCCUCCAACAGGGGGAUAACGGAGAGAAAUUUCCACUAAUACCCCAUAAUAUCAGAAUCGGCAUCGGUUUUGGUUGAAAACUCCGGUGGUUGGAGAUGGGCAUGCGUUGUAUUAGAUAGUUGGUGAGGUAACGGCUCACCAAGUCAACGAUACGUAGGGGGACUGAGAGGUUAGCCCCCCACACUGGUACUGGGACACGGACCAGACUCCUACGGGAGGCAGCAGUGAGGAAUAUUGGUCAAUGGGGGCAACCCUGAACCAGCCAUGCCGCGUGCAGGAAGACGGCUCUAUGAGUUGUAAACUGCUUUUACAAGGGGAUAAAUCGGUGUACGUGCACACCGUUGAAGGUACCUUGGGAAUAAGGAUCGGCUAACUCCGUGCCAGCCGCCGCCGUAA